AUUGAACGCUGGCGACAUGCCUUACACAUGCAAGUCGAACGGCAGCACGGGUGCUUGCACCUGGUGGCGAGUGGCGAACGGGUGAGUAAUACAUCGGAACAUGUCCUGUAGUGGGGGAUAGCCCGGCGAAAGCCGGAUUAAUACCGCAUACGAUCUACGGAUGAAAGCGGGGGACCUUCGGGCCUCGCGCUAUAGGGUUGGCCGAUGGCUGAUUAGCUAGUUGGUGGGGUAAAGGCCUACCAAGGCGACGAUCAGUAGCUGGUCUGAGAGGACGACCAGUCACACUGGGACUGAGACACGGUCCAGACUCCUACGGGAGGCAGCAGUGGGGAAUUUUGGACAAUGGGCGAAAGCCUGAUCCAGCAAUGCCGCGUGUGUGAAGAAGGCCUUCGGGUUGUAAAGCACUUUUGUCCGGAAAGAAAUCCUUGGCCCUAAUACGGUCGGGGGAUGACGGUACCGGAAGAAUAAGCACCGGCUAACUACGUG
RNAcentral lists this ribosomal RNA (486 nucleotides) under uncultured bacterium. RNAcentral's name for it is "partial 16S ribosomal RNA". It matches the Rfam family "Bacterial small subunit ribosomal RNA", at positions 30 to 507 of the family's 1533-position model. The record is from RNAcentral.